CGUUACGAUUUAGCCGAAUCACACGUGGCGUACACACACUCGCUUAAAGGAAUAGGUCACUCACUCCACCUCUUCAUCAACCACCACCACCGUUGCGUCGGAGAUUCUCCCAGACUCAACCUUCCUCCUCAAAGAAAAGGCGACCCUGAAGAACAAGAAACCAAAGGAGUAGAAAAUUCCCCUAAGAAACCAAAGCUACCUUCUCCUCACCAUCCGGGUUCGGGUACUGAUUCGGGUCAUCUCGAGUUCGAUUCGGACUCCGAAGACGACGAUGAUGAAGAAGACCAUUUGGAUUUAGACCACCACCACCAUCUCGGAAAUUUUGAAACCGGACCUUAUAUGGGAUCCCAACCGGGUUAUACCCGGUACCCGAACCCGGAAAUGAUGGGUACUCCUUAUAUGCACAUGAACUACAUGAAGAACAGUUCGAUGCCUCCUUCACUCAUCUACGAGCAAAGACCAAGUUGCCCUCAAAAAGUCUACAUAGGCGAAUCCGGACCCGGACCCGGAUACUACGGUUCUUCAACUGAUGAUCCGCCUCCUCCGUCCCCGCCUAGAUCCAACGGGUGGGAUUUUCUAAACCCGUUCGAUACUUACUAUCCUUCGUAUACUCCGAGUCGAGACUCGAGGGAGCUUAGAGAGGAAGAAGGUAUACCCGAGCUGGAGGAAGACGACGAUUCACAGUACGAGGUUGUUAAGGAAGUUCACGGUCGUGAUAAUCAGCCGACUCCUGCUGUUGUUUACAGGGAAGAGUCUGAUUCUCCGUCUCCGUCUCCGCGGCUGUCUGUUGAUAAAUCUGGAGCUAGUACUAGUGGUGGAGAUGCGGCUAUGUAUCAGACUAGGCCGAGCGUGUCGGUGGAGAAGAACGGGGUUGAGUACGAAGUUCACGUCGUUGAGAAGACGGUUGUUGAAGAUGGCGGAAACGAGAGCAAUGCCACGGCGACACGUGGAGGAGGAGGAGGUGGGCCACGUGCGGUCCCUGAGGUUGCUAAAGAGAUUGAGAAUCAGUUCGUGAGAGCUGCGGAGUCUGGAAGUGAGAUCGCUAAGUUACUUGAAGUUGGGAAGCGUCCUUAUGGUCGGAAACACGGUAAUAAAACUUUUCAGUUUUGUCCGAAUGAUUGUGAUCUUUCAAUAAUUAAUUAAAAAAUGAAACUUUUUGUUUUGUAGCAGCUUCAAAAUUGUUGCACGGGGUUACUCCUUCUGUUGCUGAGCCGCCAACGUAUGCAGACAUUGAAGAAGAGCUUGCUUCAAGGUCAAGGAACCUUUCUUCCACAUUGCACAAACUCCAUCUCUGGGAGAAGAAGCUUUACCGAGAAGUGAAGGUAACGUUAAUCUCUUACAACACUACGAUGUGUUUUAGCUCCUUUGUCUGAAGAAAAGCUUCUACUCUUUUCUAGGCUGAGGAAAAAUUGCGUGUAGCUCACGAGAAGAAGGUGAGGAAGCUAAAGCGUUUAGAUGAAAGAGGUGCUGAAGCAACUAAAGUGGAUACAACAAGGAAGCUAGUAAGAGACAUGAACACAAAGAUACGGAUUGCGAUUCAGGUUGUGGAUAAAAUCUCCGUGACGAUUAAUAAGAUUAGAGAUGAAGAUCUAUGGCCGCAACUGAACGCAUUGAUCCAAGGGUAAUAAUAACCUUGCCUCUACAUGUUUUUAGAUGUUUGCGUUUGGAGAUGUUGAUUCUGUGUUUGGUUUGCUUCUCAGGCUUACACGGAUGUGGAAAGAGAUGCUAGAGUGUCAUCAGAGUCAGUGCCAGGCUAUAAAGGAAGCUAGAGGGCUAGGGUCUAUAAGAGCUAGCAAGAAGCUAGGCGAUGAGCAUCUUGAAGCAACUAGUUUGCUUGGUCAUGAGCUUAUAAACUGGAUAUUAGGAUUCUCUAGCUGGGUUAGUGCGCAGAAAUGUUAUGUAAGGGAGUUGAAUAAAUGGCUCAUGAAGUGUCUUCUCUAUGAACCUGAGGAAACAGCCGAUGGUAUCGCUCCUUUUUCGCCUGGUCGGCUUGGUGCUCCACCGAUCUUUGUGAUCUGUAACCAAUGGUCUCAAGCUUUGGACAGGAUCUCCGAGAAGGAAGUGAUUGAGGCAAUGCGUAGCUUCACCACGAGUGUGCUUCAGCUUUGGGAACAAGAUCGGUUAGAAACGACGGUGAUGGGGCAGGAGAAAGUUAGGAGCAUGGACCGGGAAGAGCAGAGGAUACACAGGGAGAUUCAAGCGCUGGAAAAGAAAAUGGUUCUGGUUGCACCUGGUGAUGGUCUUUUGGUAUCUGGGAACGUUGUUUACCAGAGUGAUACUAGUAGCGAUAGUUUACAAGGUAGUUUGCAGAGGAUUUUUGAAGCUAUGGAGAGGUUCACUGAUGAGUGUAUGAGAGCUUAUGAUGAUCUCUUGGUGCGUGCUGAAGAAGUAACUGCUCCGAGAGAAAGUGAGGAAUGAUAAACAAAACUAGAGGAAGAUCUUUGCUUGAUCUUGCAAUGGUGGAACCAACCAGAAUCAUCUGCGUCUCAUUCUGAGCCUCAUGCAUGAAGAGCCCCACAAGUGGAUGAUGAUCUAAGAGGAGGCAUAAUCCUUGUAAAAAGACGGCCAGUUCUAUGGUUAAGAGAUACGGUUUAGUGCAAAUUGACUUUGAACCGGAUGGUUAACAUAAACCAUAUAUGAGGCAGGUAGCAUAUAUUAGUUAAGUUCUAAUAAUUUUUAUAUUCAGGCAAUGUACAUUAGGCGUUUAGGACUAAACUUUUGACGAUUCUCAGCAAUUAUUUUUGUAGAAUCCGAGGGUAGCUCAGGGAAGUCUCUCUUUCUUUUGAAGUACUAAAGAUGUGACCUUUUGGUUGCAGAAACUAGAUUACCCUAAGCAGCAUUGAGCUUCUCACUAAUCCAGGUUAUUAGUACUAGUAUUUAACAUGUGACCUUUUGUUUUGUCGCAUUAUUCUCCCUGUAUAUGUAUUUUGCUCACAUGAUAAAUUUUGUAUAAAAAAAAGAAGAAAGUUAUCAUGAAGUGGGAAAAAUGGGUGAAUGAUUUACGUUUUCUCGUUGUAAGAAAUUUUUUGUUUGAUAAUAUGCAAAUUAUGCAUGCCUGUAAAAGUUACUAGGCAUAAGAAUAAAGACAUAAUCAUUUUAUGAGAAGUUACAAACUAUUUCCAAUCAUUUACCUGACCAGCUUUAAACAUUAAUGAUUCAUGUGAGUAAACUAUACUCCCUCCGUUUCAUAAUACUUGAUCUUUUGUAAUAAUGCACAAAGAUUAAGAAAAUUACAUUUCUCUAGAAAAAUAUUUUAAAGAUAUAAUUUUAAAUUCAGUUAACCAAUUAUAAAAAAAACUGUAAAAUCUAAUUGGUUGAACAGUUUCCAAUAAAGUUAAAGUUAACCAUAAAAUCUCAAAACUUCCUUAAAAUCUCAAAACUUCAUGUAAAUUGAAACAAAACAAACCUUCUAAAACAUCAUCUAUAUUGAAACGGAGGGAGUAUAAUAAACCCACCCAAUGGUCCAUUCUUUUUUUCAGUUAGUCCCUGCGCCAAUAGUUAACGACUUUGUGUUGCUGUGCCAAACAUGAUUAGCGUGAACUUGACGUCUCGUGUGUCAAUCUAUAUGUCCUGUUUGUUUGUUGCAAAAGUAAUAAAUUGAAAAAAUUAUGUACCAUGAAGAGAAUAAGAGUGCCAUUAGUUAUUGUUGUGACCCAACCAGAACCAUGUAUUUAUUACAAAUUAGAGAUAGUGCUUGAGCAUCUAAUCAUAUAAGAAAUGCAAUUACAUAGGAGAAUCUUUGGAUAACUUCACUCUCUUCCUUUUCUACACAAAAGAGACAGCUCUUGUGUCCUCGAAAGCCUGAUUCUCUGUUUCAUUCUCCAAAGCUAAUAAUAGGAAACAAACAUUGCAAGAACUUUUCAUUGGCAUACAUCCACGUUGAGAAUAUACAAACUACUUUUCUCGCCGUUGAUCCAUUUUCUUGACCAUGAAUUUUAGUCUAGCGGUCUAUAUCAUAAAGCACUGUAUAACCAUAUCUAACUCAAAUGUGGUAAUCUGCAAUAUGCGUUUUAACUGUAAACAAAUCACAAUUUAAAUAAAAUUUUAACACUUAGCCAUAUUAGUUUAUGUGGCUUCCAAAAAUAGAUGGUAACACAUUCAGAGUGAAGAACUUUUUUUUGGUUUCAGAGUUUCAAAAGUUAACUUCUUAAAAUGUAAAUAUGUCACAGUCUGUUCAAACCCUUUAAAGAAAAUUGAUUUUCACAUUACUCUAAUUAGAAGGCACGUCAAUAAUCCAGAAAUGUCACACGGUUUCAUAGGUCAGCUACAUAAAAAAAGAAUCUUAAAUGAAAAAUGAAUAAAAAGCGAGAAAGAAAGUAGGAAUGGUUGAUGAUAAGGCACUCCAAUCACAAAACACAUUGAGCUGGCGAUAAUGAUAUUUUCCCAAAAAUCUUACAGUAUUUGGUACCACAAAGUGUUUAUCAUUAUCAAUAACAUAGGAAUCAAUUUAUAUUGUAAUAUAGUAUAGUAUAUACAGAAAAGAAGUUGACUUGUGCUGUUUUUUUUUUUUUGCCUUUUCAAUUUUCAAAUCCAUUGGUUAAACAUUUAGAAACUCAUAAAUCCUACUAAAACAUAAAGAGAUGCAUACUUCAGAGUUGACCUUAUAAAAUCUUUGUUUUAUAGACCUUAUAAAUUCUAAAAUCUUAUUUUUACCGCUGAUAUAUUAAAUUUAUAAUUAUAAAGUUUUCCCAACUUUUUAUUUUAUUUUGUAGUGGUACCAUAUUGACAAGUAGGAGACAAUGUCUCAGAAACUUACCACAGGAGUCAAAAAGACAAACUUAAAAAAAGAGAACAAUUUUUAUUUUAUUUCCAUUAAUAUCUUCUCUUCUCUCUCUCUCUCUCUAUUACAAGAAGCAAAAGAUAAACACUUUCCGACAAGCCAGAGAAAAAGAUUGGAACCUUCAUUUCAUGGGUUGUUGUCAAUCCUUGUGUCCGGAUGAACAAAACCCACUUCGGAAAGAUGGAGCUCAGCCGCCACAACCGGCUCAAACCCACCGCGGCGGCGCUACGACGGCUGCUGGACUCGAUAACGGCGGAGAUGGAGGAGUAAUCCCGUCUUUCUCAGAGUUCUCUUUGGCCGACCUAAAAGCAGCCACGAACAACUUCAGCUCAGACAACAUCGUAUCAGAAAGCGGAGAGAAAGCCCCGAAUCUUGUAUACAAAGGCAGACUUCAGAACCGUCGCUGGAUCGCCGUCAAGAAGUUUACUAAGAUGGCUUGGCCUCAUCCUAAACAAUUCGCGGUACCAAAAAGAAAGACCCUUUGUAAGGCUAACGGGCUUUGGUCUUUUUAAUUUAAUUCAAUUCGGGAAAAAAAGAAAAAUACAAAAAGUCUAGUCAAUGAGAGAAGAACAAACCAUGACGACGUGAGCAUCACACCUGAAGCCUGAAGAUCUGUUUUGGUAACAACAUCCAUUCAGUUACGUCUUUAGUUUGAACACCCAAACUAACUACACACUAGACUUUUUAAAAAGAAUAAUUUAUAUUUUUUGUCAAAAAAAAAAAGAAUAAUUUAUUUUCCCCUAAACCAUAAUAAAUAUUAAAUCUUGACUUUCCAUACACCUAAUUCAUUUAUUAGAAAAAGAAGUCGUGUACAUUCCUCGUUUAUUUUCUGACGUUACCCGUUACCAUCAUGUAAUAAUGAGUGUCCAAAUCAAAUACUGUCGUUACGUAAUUAGAGACUAAAGGUAACGGUAUUCUGGAGAAUAUAACAAAAUGGUCAAAACGGGUCAAAGUUACCAUCAAACACAAAGCCAAAGUUAGAGUAGUACUAUACUUAAAAGACCAGAACUAACCGUAUCUUUGUUUUAAGAUCCAUGUCUUGUGUCUGAACCUCUCAAAGUACUAUCCGAGAUAAGGUUUUCACUUUUUUUUUUCUUCCGGAUUUGGGUAAAUUAAUUUGGUGAGAUUAAUAGUAAUUAAUUAGAUGAUAAAGAAGAAAACACCGACUGAUCCUGUGGAGAGAAACAGACGAAAAUCUCGGUGCUGGCAAAGAUUCCUUCACAGUCCUUUUGCUGUUUGUUUUCCCUUCUUCUUCUUCUUCAUUUUUGAACUAAAUCAUUCAUUUUGAUCUCUCUUUCUCUCCUAAAUUUGAAAUAAUACUCUCUCGAGAAAACAACCACUUCACUCUUUCUUUCUAUCACUAUCAACACACACCUUCUUUGCACCUUACUCGCCUCCCCUUCUUCCUCUCACCUACCUUUCAUCUCUCUCUAUCUCUCCCUAUUAUUUUCUCAAAUCUUGUCUUUCUUUUUAAUUUAAUUUUUUGUUGGUAAAUUAACUAGUGAUGGGUUGUACAAGUUCUAAGCUGGACGAUCUUCCGGCGGUUGCUCUCUGCCGUGAACGGUGCAAUUUCCUAGAAGCGGCGAUUCAGCAACGUUACCAUUUAGCCGAAUCACACGUGGCGUACACACACUCGCUUAAAGGAAUAGGUCACUCACUCCAUCUCUUCAUCAACCACCACCACCGUUUCGUCGCUUCUCCCAGACUCAACCUUCCUCCUCAAAGAAAAGGCGACCCCGAAGAACAAGAAAACAAAGGAGUAGAAAAUUCCCCUAAGAAAGCAAAGCUACCUUCUCCUCACCAUCCGGGUUCGGGUACUGAUUCGGGUCAUCUCGAGUUCGAUUCGGACUCCGAAGACGAUGAUGAAGAAUUCCAUUUGGAUUCGGACCACCACCACCAUCUCGG
This 6685-nucleotide long non-coding RNA is filed under the name Brassica napus (rape). Its description in RNAcentral is "long non-coding RNA (BNAP_LNC026058)". Lineage: Eukaryota; Viridiplantae; Streptophyta; Magnoliopsida; Brassicales; Brassicaceae. The record is from RNAcentral.